Molecule: ribosomal RNA, 2890 nt
Filed under: Klebsiella pneumoniae
Lineage: Bacteria; Pseudomonadati; Pseudomonadota; Gammaproteobacteria; Enterobacterales; Enterobacteriaceae
Description: bacterial LSU rRNA
Rfam family: Bacterial large subunit ribosomal RNA
Source: RNAcentral
UUAAGCGACUAAGCGUACACGGUGGAUGCCCUGGCAGUCAGAGGCGAUGAAGGACGUGCUAAUCUGCGAAAAGCGUCGGUAAGGUGAUAUGAACCGUUAUAACCGGCGAUGUCCGAAUGGGGAAACCCAGUGUGAUUCGUCACACUAUCGUUAACUGAAUACAUAGGUUAACGAGGCGAACCGGGGGAACUGAAACAUCUAAGUACCCCGAGGAAAAGAAAUCAACCGAGAUUCCCCCAGUAGCGGCGAGCGAACGGGGAGCAGCCCAGAGUCUGAAUCAGCUUGUGUGUUAGUGGAACGGUCUGGAAAGUCCGACGGUACAGGGUGAUAGUCCCGUACACCAAAAUGCACAGGCUGUGAACUCGAAGAGUAGGGCGGGACACGUGGUAUCCUGUCUGAAUAUGGGGGGACCAUCCUCCAAGGCUAAAUACUCCUGACUGACCGAUAGUGAACCAGUACCGUGAGGGAAAGGCGAAAAGAACCCCGGCGAGGGGAGUGAAAAAGAACCUGAAACCGUGUACGUACAAGCAGUGGGAGCACCUUCGGGUGUGACUGCGUACCUUUUGUAUAAUGGGUCAGCGACUUAUAUUCUGUAGCAAGGUUAACCGUAUAGGGGAGCCGCAGGAAACCGAGUCUUAACUGGGCGUUAAGUUGCAGGGUAUAGACCCGAAACCCGGUGAUUCAGCCAUGGGCAGGUUGAAGGUUGGGUAACACUAACUGGAGGACCGAACCGACUAAUGUUGAAAAAUUAGCGGAUGACUUGUGGCUGGGGGUGAAAGGCCAAUCAAACCGGGAGAUAGCUGGUUCUCCCCGAAAGCUAUUUAGGUAGCGCCUCGUGAACUCAUCUUCGGGGGUAGAGCACUGUUUCGGCUAGGGGGUCAUCCCGACUUACCAACCCGAUGCAAACUACGAAUACCGAAGAAUGUUAUCACGGGAGACACACGGCGGGUGCUAACGUCCGUCGUGAAGAGGGAAACAACCCAGACCGCCAGCUAAGGUCCCAAAGUCAUGGUUAAGUGGGAAACGAUGUGGGAAGGCACAGACAGCCAGGAUGUUGGCUUAGAAGCAGCCAUCAUUUAAAGAAAGCGUAAUAGCUCACUGGUCGAGUCGGCCUGCGCGGAAGAUGUAACGGGGCUAAACCAUGCACCGAAGCUGCGGCAGCGACACUGUGUUGUUGGGUAGGGAGCGUUCUGUAAGCCUGCGAAGGUGUGCUGUGAGGCAUGCUGGAGGUAUCAGAAGUGCGAAUGCUGACAUAAGUAACGAUAAAGCGGGUGAAAAGCCCGCUCGCCGGAAGACCAAGGGUUCCUGUCCAACGUUAAUCGGGCAGGGUGAGUCGACCCUAAGGCGAGGCCGAAAGGCGUAGUCGAUGGGAAACAGGUUAAUAUUCCUGUACUUGGUGUUACUGCGAAGGGGGGACGGAGAAGGCUAUGUUAGCCGGGCGACGGUUGUCCCGGUUUAAGCAUGUAGGCUGGUUAUCCAGGCAAAUCCGGAUAAUCAAGGCUGAGGUGUGAUGACGAGGCACUACGGUGCUGAAGUAACAAAUGCCCUGCUUCCAGGAAAAGCCUCUAAGCAUCAGGUAACAUCAAAUCGUACCCCAAACCGACACAGGUGGUCAGGUAGAGAAUACCAAGGCGCUUGAGAGAACUCGGGUGAAGGAACUAGGCAAAAUGGUGCCGUAACUUCGGGAGAAGGCACGCUGGUGUGUAGGUGAAGUCCCUGCGGAUGGAGCUGAGACCAGUCGAAGAUACCAGCUGGCUGCAACUGUUUAUUAAAAACACAGCACUGUGCAAACACGAAAGUGGACGUAUACGGUGUGACGCCUGCCCGGUGCCGGAAGGUUAAUUGAUGGGGUUAUCCGUAAGGAGAAGCUCUUGAUCGAAGCCCCGGUAAACGGCGGCCGUAACUAUAACGGUCCUAAGGUAGCGAAAUUCCUUGUCGGGUAAGUUCCGACCUGCACGAAUGGCGUAAUGAUGGCCAGGCUGUCUCCACCCGAGACUCAGUGAAAUUGAACUCGCUGUGAAGAUGCAGUGUACCCGCGGCAAGACGGAAAGACCCCGUGAACCUUUACUAUAGCUUGACACUGAACAUUGAGCCUUGAUGUGGAUAGGUGGGAGGCUUUGAAGCGUGGACGCCAGUCUGCGUGGAGCCAACCUUGAAAUACCACCCUUUAAUGUUUGAUGUUCUAACGUUGGCCCCUGACCGGGGUUGCGGACAGUGUCUGGUGGGUAGUUUGACUGGGGCGGUCUCCUCCCAAAGCGUAACGGAGGAGCACGAAGGUUAGCUAAUCCUGGUCGGACAUCAGGAGGUUAGUGCAAUGGCAUAAGCUAGCUUGACUGCGAGCGUGACGGCGCGAGCAGGUGCGAAAGCAGGUCAUAGUGAUCCGGUGGUUCUGAAUGGAAGGGCCAUCGCUCAACGGAUAAAAGGUACUCCGGGGAUAACAGGCUGAUACCGCCCAAGAGUUCAUAUCGACGGCGGUGUUUGGCACCUCGAUGUCGGCUCAUCACAUCCUGGGGCUGAAGUAGGUCCCAAGGGUAUGGCUGUUCGCCAUUUAAAGUGGUACGCGAGCUGGGUUUAGAACGUCGUGAGACAGUUCGGUCCCUAUCUGCCGUGGGCGCUGGAGAAUUGAGGGGGGCUGCUCCUAGUACGAGAGGACCGGAGUGGACGCAUCACUGGUGUUCGGGUUGUCAUGCCAAUGGCACUGCCCGGUAGCUAAAUGCGGAAGAGAUAAGUGCUGAAAGCAUCUAAGCACGAAACUUGCCCCGAGAUGAGUUCUCCCUGAGACUUUAAGUCUCCUGAAGGAACGUUAAAGACGAUGACGUUGAUAGGCCGGGUGUGUAAGCGCAGCGAUGCGUUGAGCUAACCGGUACUAAUGAACCGUGAGGCUUAACCU